UACGGAGGGAGCUAGCGUUGUUCGGAUAUACUGGGCGUAAAGCGCACGUAGGUGGCGCAGCAAGUCAGGGGUGAAAUCCCGGAGCUCAACUCCGGAACUGCCUUUAAGACUGCAUCGCUUGAAUCCGGGAGAGGUGAGUGGAAUUCCGAGUGUAGAGGUGAAAUUCGUAGAUAUUCGGAAGAACACCAGUGGCGAAGGCGGCUCACUGGACCGGUAUUGACGCUGAGGUGCGAAAGCGUGGGGAGCAAACAGG
RNAcentral lists this ribosomal RNA (253 nucleotides) under uncultured bacterium. Its description in RNAcentral is "partial 16S ribosomal RNA". It matches the Rfam family "Bacterial small subunit ribosomal RNA", at positions 524 to 776 of the family's 1533-position model. The record is from RNAcentral.